Long non-coding RNA from Myotis myotis, 2582 nucleotides. RefSeq lists it as uncharacterized. NCBI's taxonomy places the organism in Eukaryota, Metazoa, Chordata, Mammalia, Chiroptera, Vespertilionidae. The record is from RefSeq and is a predicted model, not a curated record. The transcript has 2 exons.
AUAAGUCUUUGUUUUACUCUGGUUGCAAAUAUCAAAAAAUUUCUACAUGUGACACGGCACCAGAGUUAAGUUAGGGUUUUUCAAAAUGCUGACACGCCGAGCUCAAAAGGUUCGCCAUCCCUGAUCUAGUUCGUGUCACUUCGUGCCCUCUCUAGCUGUGGCCCUGUCACCCACCUGGGCGGGGAGAAGGGGAGCAUGAAAUUCAAAGCAACCACGGCAUCGGUGAAGAACAGGGAGACUGAUGUGACUGGACCUACCGAGGUGGCCGUGACCUGUUUAUGUCUUUUUCGGGAGGAGGGACAGCUGGCUUUUCGCAUUCAGGGGGUGGGGCGGGUGCGCGAGCUUUUGUCAGGAGUAUCCUGGACUGCAAGUCAGGCCCGAACUAGAGGUGUCUCAGGCUCGUCCCUGGCAUUUCUUUCACUCUCCGCCUCAGGGUCUCCCCUUCUGGCUGCCUUCUUUCCACCCAAGAGAGACGCUUCCUUUGCCCAAGACAUUUCCCCUGCUUCUUCCUGGGAACUUGGCCCGGUUCCACCUUCUGUAGAGGUGCCACAGUGGCUGUGAGCUUGGACCAGACAUGCACUAGCUGGGUCACUUGAGCAAGGCCCUUAACCUCUGGGCCUGUUUCCUCCUCGAUGAAUAACAGCGACACCAACUUCCUGGCGAGGGUGAGGUCACCUAGGUAGCUCUUCGGUGUGGUAGCUGGCACAGUGCUCAGUGGAUAGUAGCCAUCGCAUCAGCACUGUUAGGCCAGCCUCCCCGUGUGCAGGCGGGGGCCGGAGCUCCCGGUAGUGGUGCUUUGUGGUGCUUUGUGGCAGGUCUGUGCAUCCUGCUGGCAUUCCUCAGUUGUAGCGAGAACACUGACAGGACGAAGGGUCAGAUCUGGUUGUCAGAGCUGCCACCAGCAGCUGGUUCUGUGCGCUUCCCUCUCAGCUAAAUGUUAAUUGCUCAGGCACACGCGGUUCCUUGGCUCGGGUGUCCUAGCCGUGGGUAUAUGGCUCAGCUGUCAUCUUCAGCCCCUCCAGAAAAACAACAAGGAGACCUUUGUGUGAUUCCCCAAUGUCCUUAGGGGGAUCGGGGCUCCAGGCAGUCCUGCAGCCCUCUCAGGAGAAGCAAGGGUGUCCCUACAGGAUAUUUUAGCCGACUUUUGGUGGCUACAGAACCAGCAGACGCAUUGAAAACUUGGGAUGAAAAAGCAAAGAAAAUUUAGGAUGGAGAUAUCCCUCAUUCGCUUCUACCAGGUAGACACUGGCUCCUGAGGUCACCAGGCACCCAUAGGAAGGACCCUGCCUGGUGCACCACCCAGGUGUAGCCCCCACUAGUAAGCAUGACCUGGGAGAGGUCAAGGUGAGUGGCUUCCCAGGUCCAGUAGAGAGGAAGGACAAACUACCAGCUGCAGCAGAGACCCUUGGAGGGCUCAGGGAGGACGUUCAAUGCAGCGGGCGAGUGUGGGCUCUGGAGUCUGCCAGACCCGGAUCUAAGGUCUGGCUCUGCCUCUGAGAGAUGCGACUGGCUGCCUGCUUGUGUGCGCGUCUCUGAAAUGGUCCUGGACGGGCUGUUGGGAGGGUUCCUCAGGAUUAUGCCUGCGAAGCACUUAAACACGGAGCGGGGAACGGCGCUUACUGUCAACGUCUGUUACUGGUUCUACACAGGCCUCUGCGUGGGCCCCCAGGGGAGGUGGGUGAGAGAGAAAGAUGCGUUGUGUGGGGGCGGGAACUGAGGGUGGCGGGGGUUUGAGAGGAGGGUCUCCUGGCUGGUGUCGUGGUCUGAGCCCAGAGCAGCCCUGUUGGCAUCCUGAGGCCAGAGAGCCUUUCCCACAGGCGGACACCGGUGUCUGAGACGCCUGGAAGGGCAGCAAAUGGGUGGCAGGGACUGCUGGCCUGUGUGUGUGUAGGUUCGGACCAAGAGGAUGAAGGUGGUGACCAUGUGGUGCUGGCUGGGCCAACAUGGGGGAACUCCAGUAUAAAUGGUGCUUAAUGUGAAUGUCAGUUACUGGUUAUAUACAGCCCCUUGAGCCCUAUUCGGGAGCAUCCGAAACACUGGUGGGCUCUGCAGGGGCCAGGAAACCCAGUCGCUGGUGGGGCCUGUGCAUUCUGUUCACCCACAGGGUUUACUGAGCAUGUGCAUUGUGCCGGGUCCCGUCCCAGUUUAACAAAAGGCUUGCUGGGGAAGGGCUUUUCCUGUUCAUUUCCCUGUGCGGUGAGCCCACUGCGUCCCGGCUGAGGAAGGCGCUGACACAGGGACGCCUGAGCCUCCUUAUCACCCCGAGUGUAACGAGCAGAUGCUGUUGGAGCAGGAACUAGGUGCGGGCUGCGGCGCAGAGUGUGAGCCAGGGACACGUUCCUCUCAGUCGGCAGCUAGUCAUGAUUGUAAAAAUUUUAUUCUCUUUAAUAACAGUAAUAAUUCCACAAAAAUUAUACAAAGUACAUUCAAUACUCAGGGGUGGCGGGGACAGGAGGAGAGGAGGCCCGUUUGGCCUGGAAGCAUCACCAGUCGACUCCAACAAAGGAAGCCCAGCUGGGCUGGGGGACACGGGGGUGGAGGUCCGAUUGUAAAAAAUAAAGGUGGAUCGGUUAAAAAAAAAA